RNAcentral lists this ribosomal RNA (117 nucleotides) under Chloroflexota bacterium. Lineage: Bacteria; Bacillati; Chloroflexota. The record is from RNAcentral.
UCGGGUGACUAGAGCGGGGUGGAACCACCCGUAUCCUUCCCGAACACGGAAGUGAAACGCCCCAGCGCUGACGAUACUGUCCUCGUGAGGGGGUGGGAAAAUAAGCCGUCGCCCGGG